CUCACCAAGAGACUAGCUACCAUAUAGUAACAAGGAUCAUGCCAGGCCCUUCCUCCCUUGCUUCUUUUGCUAAGAGAUUACAAGGCAAGGCGGCCUUAAUAACUGGCGGCGCUAGCGGAAUCGGCGAGACCACUGCAAGACUCUUUGCCCGGAAUGGAGCCAAGGUGGUAAUUGCAGAUGUCCAAUCCGAGUUGGGUCACUCAGUAUCGAAGAAAAUGGAGUCAGAAACUGGACAACCAGUUUCCUACGUCCACUGCGAUGUUACCAAAGAAUCAGAUAUAGAAAACGCGGUGAACGCAGUCGUUUCAAAGCAUGGAAAGCUUGACAUAAUGUUCAACAACGCAGGAAUCACAGGGAAAUACGAU
This 365-nucleotide unclassified non-coding RNA is filed under the name Hevea brasiliensis (rubber tree). The record is from RNAcentral. Lineage: Eukaryota; Viridiplantae; Streptophyta; Magnoliopsida; Malpighiales; Euphorbiaceae.